UCCUCUCACUUGAUUUUCAAUUUUCCCCAAGACAUCCCCGGCCCCUCUUUCUUCAGGCAGCAAUCCGAAUGAUUUGAUUGAACUCACGGAACUUGUCGCAUCAGCAUCACCAGGAAAAAAUAGGAAAGGAUGUCUACCGACUUUAAAUCCAUCCCUCUAAUCGAUAUCGGUCCCCUCUUGGCCAAAUGCGAUGAUCCGGACAUGGGUGAAGACCCGGGCGUGGCUGAAGUCGUCCGGCAGUUGGAUCGGGCUUGUAGGGAGGCUGGUUUCUUCUACGUGAAGGGCCAUGGUAUUCCCGAGUCCCUCAUUAAAAAGGUUAGAACCUCGACGCGCGAAUUUUUCAAACUUCCUUAUGAAGAGAAGUCGAAGAUCAAGAUGACUCCAGUGGCAGGAUACAGGGGAUACCAGAGAGUUGGUGAAAAUAUUACAAAAGGUGUACCUGACAUGCACGAGGCCAUUGACUGUUACAGAGAAGUGAGGCAAGGGAUGUAUGGAGAUCUUGGCAAGGUCAUGGAAGGAUGUAAUCAGUGGCCAGUUAAUCCUCCAGAUUUAAAGCCAAUCAUGGAGGAAUAUGUUAGCCUUUGCACUGAACUUUCAAGAAAGAUCAUGAGAGGUAUUGCAUUAGCAUUAGGUGGAUCCCCAAAUGAAUUUGAAGGUCAAAGAGCUGGAGAUCCAUUUUGGGUAUUGCGUAUAAUUGGUUAUCCAGGUGCAUCAAAAGCAAAUGGCCUUGGAACUCCUGAAAAUGACAUUGGAUGCGGAGCGCACACUGAUUAUGGUUUGUUGACUCUGGUGAAUCAGGAUGAUGACAUCACUGCUCUUCAGGUCAAGAACCUCUCUGGUGAGUGGAUCUCUGCUGUUCCUAUUCCCGGAACAUUUGUUUGCAACAUAGGUGACAUGCUUAAGAUUUGGUCCAAUGGCCUAUAUGACUCAACAUUGCAUCGCGUAAUUAAUAGUUGCCCAAGAUAUCGAGUCUGUGUAGCAUACUUUUAUGAGCCGAAUUUCGAUGUCCCGGUGGAGCCUUUAGAUUUCUGUGUGAGGAGAACCGGUGGAACCAGGAAGUUUGGAAGAGCAUGCUAUGGAGAGCAUUUAGUUAGCAAAGUCCAAACAAAUUUUGUGGAGUAAAAUACAAAAUCCCAUCUCUUCCAUUGUCAGUUUAAGCUUGACAUAAAUGAUCUCUCUGCUGUGGAUACUGAAUUUGUAAAGUCAUGGAAUAAUAGUUGCACGUAUUUCUUCCGAAGUCCUUAAUAACGGGGUUGACUGUGGGUGCUACAUUUAUCCUGUUUUUAUUCUUUGGCUAUUGGAUUUUCACUUGCAGGAUCUUGAAUUUGUAGUGUAUCAUGGUUUACUUGACCAUGAGACUACUGUACUAAUAGACAAAGGGUCCUUCUAGA
Molecule: RNA transcript, 1391 nt
Organism: Eucalyptus grandis
Lineage: Eukaryota; Viridiplantae; Streptophyta; Magnoliopsida; Myrtales; Myrtaceae
Gene name: probable 2-oxoglutarate-dependent dioxygenase At3g50210
Exons: 13
Source: RefSeq, a predicted model, not a curated record